CGUCCGGGCUAGGAGCUGGAGCCGAUCGGAGACGGAGGAGAUGGCGUCCCAGCCGCCACCUCCCCCAAAACCCUGGGAGACCCGCCGAAUUCCGGGAGCCGGACCGGGACCAGGACCGGGCCCCACUUUCCAGUGAGUGUGGGAUUCUUCAGGCUAUCUGCUGAUUUGGGUCCUACUUUAAUGACAAGACCUGGACAACCAGCACUUACCAGAGUGCCCCCACCUAUUCUUCCAAGGCCAUCACAGCAGACAGGAAGUACCAGUGUGAACACUUUUAGACCUGCUUACAGUUCAUUUUCUUCUGGAUAUGGUGCCUAUGGAAAUUCAUUUUAUGGAGGCUAUAGUCCUUAUAGUUAUGGAUAUAAUGGGCUGGGCUACAACCGCCUCCGUGUAGAUGAUCUUCCACCCAGUAGAUUUGUUCAGCAAGCUGAAGAAAGCAGCAGGGGUGCAUUUCAGUCCAUUGAAAGUAUUGUGCAUGCAUUUGCCUCUGUCAGUAUGAUGAUGGAUGCUACCUUUUCAGCUGUCUAUAACAGUUUCAGGGCUGUAUUGGAUGUAGCAAAUCACUUUUCCCGAUUGAAAAUACACUUUACAAAAGUGUUUU
Molecule: small RNA, 601 nt
Filed under: Pongo abelii (Sumatran orangutan)
Lineage: Eukaryota; Metazoa; Chordata; Mammalia; Primates; Hominidae
Description: processed transcript
Source: RNAcentral